UUCCGCCGCGGAGGAGGAAGCAACCGCGGAAGCUUGGGUCUUCUGUCGUUUCUCUCGUCGUCUCUUCCGUCGAAUCAGAAGCUGCUCCGUCAAGUCAUCCGAGUUCGUUUGAUAUGUUUCCACCUCCGUUUCCUGCUUCUCCUCUCCGUUCCUCCUCUCUACAUCUUCUUCCUCUUAAUCAGUGUCCGGGUCCUCCUCCUCUUCCUCUUCUCGAUCAUCGCUUUCUCGUUCAUCCUCUCGAUCUCUCUCAAGUUCGCUCUCCCUCACCUACCGUCGAUUCGUCUCUUCAUCGCUCGCUUGCUCUCCCUGAGCCCCACAAGAUCCUCCUCCUCCUCUCAAGAGAGGACCAAACAGGUUGUUUGGUCUAUCGGGUCGAAGCCAGUUACAGAGAAGAAGACUAACUCUGGCUCUUGGGUUCAGAAGUACAGCUCUGGGGAUGUGUACGAGGGAGAGUUUCUUAGAGGGAAGUGUUCAGGGAGUGGAGUUUAUUACUAUUCGAUGAAGGGUAAGUACGAAGGGGAUUGGGUUGAUGGGAAGUAUGAUGGCUUUGGAGUUGAGACGUGGUCUAAAGGAAGUAGGUACAGAGGUCAAUACAGGCAAGGGAUGAGACAUGGAACUGGAAUAUAUAGGUUUUAUACUGGGGAUGUGUAUGCUGGUGAGUGGUCUAAUGGACAGAGCCAUGGAUGUGGUGUGUAUACCUCUGAGGAUGGUAGUAGGUUUGUUGGAGAGUUCAAAUGGGGUGUUAAACAUGGUCUUGGUCACUACCAUUUCAGGUGAGAUAUCAUCAGUUUUUAUGUUGGUUUGUUUGCUAGCUCUGUGCAUUGUCUUUUCUUAUUGGCUCGAACACUAUAGAGUCAUUUAAAUGUGUAGAAAUGGUUGAGCUUUUGGGUAUAAGGGUGAACUUUAAAGCCACAUGUUAUUGAUGUCUAAUGGUUUGGUAAAGUUACUAUGGUUUCUGAAAAGUUUUGGUUCUGUCUCGACUUUGUCGUCAUGGUUAGGCUGUAGUAGGUCCAUGUCUAUGUUGCUAGUGGGGACGUUCUAAAAGUGUAUUGCUUUCAAUCAUGAGUUCUUGAUGAUGGAUUGCUAGGCGCCCCUCACCUUUUUUGUUGCUGACUUGAGCGUUGAUCAUAAAACAAUUGCAUCAUCUUCCCUUCUUUAGUGAUUACGCAUCUGACUUGAAAGUCAUGUAUGUCCCUAUUGCAGAAAUGGCGAUACAUAUGCUGGAGAGUACUUUGCAGACAGGAUGCAUGGUUUUGGAGUGUAUCUAUUUGGAAACGGACAUCGGUAUGAAGGAGCCUGGCAUGAAGGGAGAAGGCAAGGGCUUGGUAUGUACACAUUCAGGAACGGUGAGACACAGGCUGGGCAUUGGGAAAACGGUGUUCUCAGCUGUCCUACCGAGCAGACCACCCGUCCCGAUUCAUCCUUUUCAAUCAGUCACUCCAAGGUUCUAGACACUGUCCAGGUAGCCUAUAAUAACCUUAUCUUUAAGAAUUUAUAUCCAGUAAUUGGUUCAAAUGAAAUGGGUUACGCUUAUGAGUUUUUAACCCUUAUCUCUUUUCUCUCUUCUGUUUACAGCAAGCAAGGAAAGCAGCUGAGAAAGCACGUGAAGUUGUGAAAGUGGAAGAGAGAGUGAACAGAGCAGUGAUGGUCGCAAACCGAGCAGCUAAUGCUGCUAGAGUUGCUGCUACAAAGGCUGUUCAAACCCAAACAUAUUACAGUAGUGGCGGCGGCGAUGAUCCCUUGUGAGUAGUUACUGUGGCAAGAGCUUUUGACAUAGUCAGCAACCGUGAAUCUCACCUCGAACCUCUUGGAUGACACGUGAUAGAAAGAGAGAGAGAGAAAGACGUCUAGAGAAGACACUCAAAAAUUUGCAUCUACGUUGAGAUUUUUGUGAAGGUAAACGAACCACUUGGAACCAUUGUCGAGAUCUCAUAAGUAAAUAAAUAAUAGAGAUCUGGGCUACGGAGCAAGGCUAUACAGGUUUCCUCCCACUUCUUUUAGACUUGUUUUUAUAAGCAAGGCUGGUUUUAUAAACUGUACAUAGAGGUUGUUGAAGAGUAAGCAAUGCGUGUUAACAAUAGAUCGUUGUAACCCAAUGUAAGAGAAGCAACAAAACAUUGUCUUCUUGUUACAAAAACGUGUGAAAAUAACAUCUCUUCCCACUAAGAUUGCUUUUAAUAGAAAAAAUGAGAUGAGAAUCCAGAUUUGAGUCAACUUGACAAACCCCCAACAAAGAUAAUAUAGAAAACUGACAGUUAUUAUAGAUAUGAAUUGAUGUUGUACAAAACUGACAUUAUAUAAACUUAUCCUUGAAAGUAUCAAACUUUUACCAAAUUCUGUUUUUUUUUUUAUGUAUACACAAGAAACCCAGAUUGAUUGAUUGAUAUAACAUUGUAAGAGAAAAAAAAAAUGCAUACUGUUUGAGAUAUCUUUAUUCUUUAUUAUCCAUUACCACACUGUAUAAUGUACCUAUGUGGGUGAGAAUCUACACUAGAGAAUCCUCCUCAACCUUAUCAAUGAUCUUACUUCUGACAAAAGUUUUGUCACAAAACCCACAUAAAGGUCAAUUCCUGAGUGUAACAAAAGAUCUUUGUAACCCAUGUAAGAGAAGAAGCAACAAAACAUUUGUCCAACGUGUGAAAACAACACCUCUUCCUAGUACAUUUCUUUCAAAAUAGAAAAUGACAUGAAAAUCCAGAUAUGGAUCAACUUGACAGAACCCAACAAGAUAUAAUGUACAAUGAACUGACAGAAGAUUAUAUGCAUAUAUGGUCAAUGACAAGGUUCAACUACAAGUAAGACUGGACGAACAACAGAAGAAAGCAAAUCACAAGCAUCCUUAACUUUUCCGCAAAUCCUUGCAGCUCACUUCAAGUUCAAUCUUAGGAGGUUUUUCAAGAAGAGAAGUUAGCUCAGAAACAAAUUAAGGUCCCCAAGACAGAGUCACGCCCCUCUUCUCCAACUCCCCUUCCUUUACUUCAUAGAGCAACUUGAUUGCGUUAUCUGUUGAGAGAGCAUGCAAUGGAAUUAUGUAAUUUCUGAAACUUGUCUCUCGCUUCCUCUUCAUCAAUCAGAUUCUCUUUUACCUCCUCAGGGAGUAAGGCCAGCGCACUUGGAAAGGGUCAAACAAACAAUUAAGUUUCAUCAUCCAUACAUACAUACAUACUUGGCAAGCAACAGUGGGCAGCUGAAGUUACCUGGAAACACCUCUGACAAAACCAAAAUUGUAACCCUCAAGAACAGAUUCCUUGAAUUCUCCUCCUCCAAACCACCAGCGUCUUUCCCAGCCAAAAUCUAGGCUAGAGCAAGAAAAGAAACCAAGACGAUUUCGCACUUGUCAGUCCAUACAUUAUUAGGCCAGGAAUAUUAUCGAACCAGGGGUUUAGGAUUACAACAUAACGUAACAUCAUGAACAAACGAAAAAGAGAGUCAAAAAAAAAAUAUGAAACUGUAAAGGAGAAACCUUCAGAUGACAGCAUCGUUAGUUAGUUACGGCGGCGAUAGAACGACCAGGCAAGAGAUAGAGAGAGAACUUGGAGAGAAUUAGUAAUAAUGGAGCAGUCAAGGAUGAAUUUGCAAUUUCUAAUUAAAAAAAAAGUGUACAUUUUACUUUUGAUUUAACGCAUGAAGGUUAAAAUGGGAACUGUUCUCAAAUAUUGGCACAUGCCCAUCAUAUGAUUUUCUCCUGCAAUUAAUUCUAAGGAGAAAUGACCGAAAAAAAUACCAUAAAAGAGAUGCAGAAAACCAAAUGGUGGCAAUCUCCGGCGUAUUCUCCAACGUCUUUUGCAUUUAUCUCUAGCUCCGGCUUGUCCAUUUCUCGUUUCUCCUCUUUCCAUUCCUUCGAAAAAAGAGCUCGGCGGUUUGAUCGAAGAACUCCAUCGCCGAUUCUUCUUCUCUUCCUCCUCCCCCAUUCGUCAAUUAGGUACUCCAAUUGAUUCGAAGAUGGAAGCUCUUUGUUUCGAUUUCGAAUAUUGUUGCCACUUACAAUUUCCAUAAUGUUGAUAAUAAUUUCUUGCACUUUGUUCCGAGGAGCAAUUGUUGUAUAAACCAUGAUGUGUUCUCAUAUGAAAAAUUUACCAAACAAUUCAAUUCAUAAGAAAUGCAUAUUGAUCGAGGAUCGGGAUAAGAAGAGGGUUGUAAGAAAAAAAUUGCAUAUUAUAAUGAGAUGAGAGAGUUUGAAGAUGGAAAUUUCAUAGCAUACAUAGUCAUAUAAAGUGUUGUACAUCAUCUUCUCUUUCUACAAAUUCUAAAGCUUUAACACUAUACUGCUUUGUUCUCACUCUCUAUUGUUUAUUAUUCAUACCAUACUAUAUAUGUACCUACAGAUAAAAACAAUAGAUUUUAUACUUCAAAAUUAAUAUGAAAACAUCGUAGAUGUAAAUAACUGGUGAAAAGAGCGUUCGGAGAAGAGAAGAGAAGAGCAGUCACAAUUCACAAAUUGGAUAAACACACUAAAAACAUUGCAUCAAAUUGAGAAUGCAAGCAUGUAAUUAUAAAAACAGUCCUAAAAAUUAAUACAUAAUUAAGAAACAGACCCCAUAAUUUUUAUUAGUAGAUGUAUUUAUGUGAAUGUAAAAACAAAAAAGAUGUGUAAUGAAAAAAAUGCAGACUUACAUAUAGUUGGAAAUUCUCUGGCCAGUCGCUAUCGGCAAAUGAGAACCGAGUGCGUUUGUUUCCAAGGAAACUGAAUGCACCGCCCAUUUUUUUUUUUGAUGAAAUUUUAAAUUUAUUGAUCAUCGCUAAAAGAAUAUAUGAAAACAUGUACAACUAUGAGCAGUUCAUACAACUACCGCCCAUUUUUGUUGUGCUAUGGAAAAGAUAGAAAGAGAAGAAAUUAAUGAGUGUGUUAGUGGAUGUAUUUAUAGUGGCGGGAAACUAGGUUAUUGUUAAUGGGUCUUAGGCGAACCCAUAUAAUAAUGUGACUCUAAUAAAUAAAAACUCAACUCAAAUCAUUCUCCAAUCUGAGACCAUAACAGCUUUCUUCAUUCCAAUAACUCGGACGGAUCCCCCAUAGGUGCAUAUAAGUAGGUACUCCAAUUGAUUCGAAAAGCUCUUUGUUUCGAAUUCAAUUGUUGCCACUUACGAUUUCCAGAAUGUUGGUAAUAAUUUCUUGCACUUUGCUCUGAUGAGCAAUUGUUGUACAAACAAUGAUGUGUUCUCAUAUAAAAAAUUUACCAGACAAUUCAGUUCACAAGAAAUGCAUAUUGAUCGAGGAUCGGGAAAAGAGGAGGAUUGUAAGAGAAAAAAAUAGCAUAUUAUAAUGAGACGAGAGUUUGAAGAUGAAAAUUUUAUAGCAUAAGUGUACAUCAUCUUUUCUUUCUGCACAUUCUAAAAGCUUUAAUAGUAUAUUGCUUUGUUUGUUUAUUAUUCAUACCACACUGUAUUGUGUUACCUAUGUGGAGUGGAAAUUUUACACUAGAGAAGCUUCCUCAACCUUCCUGCUUCUUCUGACAAACCCAACAUAAAGGUCACUUCCUGUAGUGUCUUCUUCAGAUAAUUGUCUCCUCCUCCCAUCACCACGACCUUCCUUCAUCUUCUUCACAAACUCCACCAGCUGCUGCCAAUUUUGACCCUCAAACAACCUCUUGUUCAUUCUCAGGUACGUAAAUGUUGUCAACCCGUUUCCCGAAUCUGACCUAUUCGUUGCAACCACCUGUCCGAACGCGCUCGAGUCGUAUCUCUCUAACGCAUUCUCCCCCGCUAGCUCUGUUCCAGCCUGCCUCGUCGCGCUCUGCACUUGCUUAACCAGACCUUCUGGCGAGCAGUUCGCGUGCUCCGGUUGUUCACCGUCUCUCAUCUCCAUGCAGGUGAAGUUUAGGACAACACCGUGUUUGUUGAACAUCUUAGCUAUUGGUAGAUACCCGUCGUGGUUUCUUGUGUUGUAGUAUCCAGCGGUUAGCUCAGCGGCGUGUGACCUGGUGUUGUAGUGCCAGUGGAUUCCGGCUACUUUUCCAGAUAGCUUAGCUCCGGUUCCUUGGAAGACUCCUUUAGCUGAAGCUAGGAGCUUGUCUCCGUGCUCAAGUAGCUUCCCUGAGUACCACUCCAUGAAGAACUUUCCGUACUCGCUGUUCCAUGUCCCGUCUCUCCUGAAGAAAUCAGUAUCUUCCGGGAGGUUCAUGUACUCUCCGGCGUCAUGUGGUCCACUUGUUCCCCAGUUAGUCUUUCUGACUGAUUCAGCGUAUGCUUGAAGGGACGAUCUCAUAUACUGCAAAUCAAGAAGUAUCGUGAUCUUAGAAGAAAGUGGUUGGAUGUUCUCAUCAUGUCAUGUCUUAACAUACCUUGUCAUAGCACUGGAACUCGCCAAUUCCAGGGAACUUCCAUGUCCCGUUGCUCUCAGGGUAUGAAGGGUAUCUCAAUUCUCCACAAGGUCCCAUUCCCACUUGAAUCUCCUGUAAUAACAUGAAUAAGUGAUGAUACAAUAUGAUUAGAUCACUGUAUAUUUGCUCAUGUGUUAUAUGAAGUUGAUUUUAUGAUCUGCUUACCGCAAUAACUCCUCCUAUGUAAUGAUCAAAUCUUUCACGGAAGCUCCUCAUGAAAUCUGAGUAGACCUGGAUAGGUGUUCUUCCUCUUAGGACAGGGACAGAGUCACAUCCCAAGGAGAUGUACUCAGGGUUCCUUCUUCCAGAUUUGUCUGUGUAGACAAGAUCAGGGUUCUUGCUGAUCUCUUCAAGCACCCAUGGGGGCAAGGGUAUACUAUAUUUUUUUAAAGAGACAAACCAUUAGCUAAGCUAGAAAUAAAUAGACAAGAUCUUAUUCAUUAGAGGCCUUUCAUUACCUGCAAGAGUCUCCAACGUUUCCACCACAUUGAUGGAAAGACAUAACAACCUGGAGCUUGAGACCAUGCUUCUGAACCAUAUGUAUAAGCUCGGCAUAGCCUUCCCAAUUAUACUUCAUAGGUCCAUCUUUCUCCACCAACCCCCACCAAGCAUCAACCAUUACACCUUCUACGCCAGCUCCUUUUAGAGCCAUCAAACUGGCGUUCAUGGCUCUUGGUUUGUUCAAGUGCCCUGACAUUGUCACCGUGUCCAGCGGUAACAUGACGAAAACAGGAACGCUGGAGUCAUUCUUGGGGUGUGGGUAGGAGAGAACGUGGAGCUUCUCCCAUCUUUGAGUGGCUUCUUCACCUUCUAGCUUGAAAGUCUUCUCAUGAGUGAACAUUUCCUUAACCGAGCUUUUUGCUUGGAAUUGAUAAGUUGGUGGCUUCAUUUUGGCAAAUGACAUGUUGGAGGAGCUUUCAUGGUUUCUUGAGCUUUUUGUAUCUUUACGUUUGAUUAGAGAACUUGAGGAAUUUAGUGUUAACUCCAUUGUUUUCUUUCUCUCUGUUCAGUUGAACAAAAAAUGAGUAGAGAGAGAAUAGAAAUGUUGGUGUUUGAGAGAAGAGAUAUGUUUGUGUGUUUGAGAGAAGAUGAUGCUUGUGUGUUUGCAUAUUAUAAAGAAAACUGAUUGGCUGUGAUUUAAAGGACAAUAUUUGACUAAAAUGGAGAGAAAAUAUCAUAAAAGGUUGCCUUAGUUCCAUUUUUUCACAUAUCACAUGGUUCACACACAAACCAAAAUGAAAAAGUGUAGAUUUCACAUCAGUAGCUACAUACUACAGAUUUUCAAAUUCAUCGGUGUAUGCAAGUGUAUGUAAUUAAAUUUAUUUAUCCUCAUGUUGGUAAAUUAUUUAUUUACUCACUACUGCAAUAUUUAUCUAAUCUUGAAAUUUGCUCUUGAUAAUAUAGAUAAGCUUUGAACACAUGGUUCGUGUGGCUUAAAAUGUUUUUUAAGGUCUCUUGAUUCUAGUUUGGAAAAGAAGAUAAGUGCAAGGAAGGAUUUAUUUCAGUAUUAAAAUCAAUAUCUUGUGGUGGCUGUUAACUCUGCCUUUUUUUUCUUCUCCUUGGACUUCCCUUCCUGAACGAUUUGUGUUUUCCAACUAAGCACCAGUUCAUUGACCCAUCUAAUAUUUUCUAACAAAAAACUAAUAUUUUCACUGAGAUUUGUUCUCAUGGCCAUCUUGCCUGGUUGAGCAAGUAAACUAAAUUUAUAUUGUUUAAAGUGCGACAGUUUGAUGCAAUAAGCCCUUAUCAGUAUAGUGUAUGUAAUGCUUAAUACUUGUGCCUUUGAUCUUUUAUAAGCCAUUUGAGUUUCACAUGUUCUGUUCGAAACACGACCAGGCCGACUGCAAAUAAUACUGGGAAUCUUUCUCUAUAUUUAUCUUUUUCUAGCUGACUCAUUUGAAAGUGACAAUCUGGUCUUUAUUCAGGUGACAUAGAUUGCGCUUUUGGCUAUUUCUUCAUCGAGGACAAUGUUGUUGUCUUUAUUCUCGUUUUUAAUUCUCACCAUUAGUUUUUUUGAGCGGUAGGAAAUUGAUCCUUAUCGCUUUGGCACCUUCUCUUCUUUGGCUUGUGCUUUUCUAUUCACAAGGUUCUAGGAGUACACUGACUCAAAUAUGUACGCUCUCCGUAUCCUAAUCUAGGAAAAUGUGUUGUAAAUAAAACCGGGAGGGUUAUAAUUUUUGAACAUACAUUCCCAUUAUCUAUCCUUAUGUUAAUUCAAAGACUAGAGUAAUCUUGUGCUAAUGUAUCUAGAUGUAUAUAAUGUUCGGUUUCCGGUUUUGUUCGGGUAACAACGAUAUACUAGAUUUUGAUUCGCGCUUAGAAAGCACAUGUUUAUUUUUGAAAUUAAAUAAAUUCUUCUUAUAAUAAAUUCUUCUUAUAUAAUUUUUAUAUAAGAUAAUGUAUAGGCUUGAGUACAUUUAUUCAGAUGCACUGAACUAUACCAAACUGAAAAAAAAACAGAAUUAAGCUGAAUUUCAUAAAUAACUGAGCAUAUUCUAUAUCUUUAGAACCGAAAAAUAGAAACCGAACUGAGAACCAAAUAAAUACUUCAAAUUUUAAAAUAUAAAUUAUAUACCCACAAAUAUUAAUUAUAUUUAAUUUAUAAAUAACCAAAUAUCUUAAAAAUACUAUUUAUAAACUAAAUUAUGCGAAAAAAAUUAAUGACUCGAAUUUUUUUAUUCAAACAAUUAAUAGUUAAUUUUUUAUCCUAUUGUUUUUUCAAAUAACCUAAACUACCCGAUUUAAAGCGCAAGAUAUUUUACAUUUGUGAAAAUUCAAUAAAAAGUAUCAUAUGCAUUGUUAAAAUUUGUAAAGUAAAUAAACAUGUUCUAUUUAAACUAGUCUUUUUUUUUUACUAAUUCCAUUUAAAUCUCCAGUUUAGAUCCAUUUGAUUUUUUUAUGAUAAAAUUAAUCAUUUAAAUUAUGGGAGAAUAAUAAAUGAGUUAAUUUAAAUUAUGUAAAGUAUUUAUAUAGUUAGAGAAUUAUAAAGCAAGAUCAAAAAAUAGUUAAGUUUAAUGAAAUGGUCUAACAAACUUGUUUAAUUAGAUUUUUUAAGAAUUUUUUUUUUAAUAGUACAGAUGCUUGCAUGUUGUGACAACACGCUUUAUUGUGACUUUUUUUUUGACUACUGUGACUCUUUUUGGUAUUAAAAAUAAAGCUCUACGGUAAGCAUUGUUUGUUGGAAAAUAAUGACUGUGACAUUGUUAUAUUGUUGAGUUGGCUUUUAAUAUUUUAUUAAGGGAAAAUUCUUAUUGUCAUUUUCACUGAAAUCUUUUCUUUCUUUCUUCUAGAGCAAGUAAACAAAGUUUGAUACCUUUUUCUUUAAUGUCCACGGAAACUUUUGAGCUUUGUUAUGGACCGAUGGUGGAAAAAGUACAAAGCGUAUGGACUUGUUCACACACGCAUCAGCAAGUUAGUGAGUCUUCUUCCUACGUAACUUAACCCUCCCCACUAUUCUUUAUCUUCCUAUUUCUUACUACUAUACACAUAGUUUCAGACUUUAAUCUUCAGUUUUUACUGCUUGAUCUUGGUCCUUAUCUGAUCUGAUUAGACUUCUCUGUCUUGGCAUUAAAAACUACAGUUAUAAUCCAUGUAAAUCGUGGGAUGAUGACUUGUUGUAUUGGCUUAACGAAUUUGAUUCGGUUGGUUUGUUAGUAUAGAUAAGGCAAAACGCUAAACUAAUCUUCGUAUAAGUAUGUAGCGUCUUGUGAAACAUAUAGUAGCUAAAGAGGGAUUGUAUAAGGCGCCACAACCUACAACGAUUUGGUUUUGGGGGUUAGGAGUUAGGACAAUGGUCAAAGGGUAUUUAUCAUCAUCUAGGCUUAACUCUAAGUUGAACUUGUGAGACCUUAAGAGGUCAGAACCUUAACAGUUAAGCUUUUAGUUUGUCAAAUUGUCUGUAAGAUAAUUUUUUCUGCUUUGGUAAUGUGAUAACUGAUAAGUGAACAUCCAACAGAAAUACGUCUUUUACCAAAAACCAAAUACAAAUAUCACUUCGAAUAGAAAUUAUUACAAGAUAUUUUAUCUCCCAUUCUUCUUAUGUUGAAUCAUUUUCAGAAAGGACAAGACACUGUUUCCCAUAAAAAAAUAUCCAAGGAAGAUAUUUCUAGUCUACAUGUAGACAGAAUAAUGCAAAGAUAUUUUGUAAUUGUUUUUUUGAUUCAGGAACCAACAAGAGAGGUUUUCAAUAUUCUGCAAUGGGUAAAGUUGAACCGUUGUUGCCAGGUCGGUAACAUUUGACAUUGACACUGCAUGGACCCAACUGAAUGUGAUUCUCUUCUCUGCCCAAUCACAUUGUGUGUAGAGAGCCAAACUCGAACUCUGGACUUAUUCCAACUAGAGUACUCGACAAUGAUUUUACAACACAGUUUUACUCAGAAUUGGAUCAUUAGCAUGUAGCUUACUCUCUGAAUCAGGCUGCAAUAGAACUGAGUGUGUGGUAUCUCCAAUUUUAGAACAGCUUUCUGUGGAUUAAACGAAAGAUGAUCUCAAGACUGACCUCCUUUCUCAAGUGCUAUACCGUAAUACAUAAUUACGAUUCUCUUUUGUCCAAGCAUAUCAUUGUUUUUUUAAAUUACAGUGUUGCAAUCUUACGGUAACUAUGCAGGGAGACAAAAACAUCAUCAAGUUUGAUGGUGAUCAAAACUCUUGACUUAGAGUUAAGAUUCUUCUACAAUGUUCUAAGUCUGCUUCAACUUUAUUCAGUGUGCUCAUCUAAACACGAAAGUUAUUACAGUUUGGGAGAUAUAGAUCCCCUAUUUACUUCUAAUAAACAAGAUCUUCGACCUGCGUCGUCUCUGAAUUAACUUAUUAAACAGAUUUUAAUAUUUGUAUGUAUAUAUCUUCUCUGCAUCUUAUCAUGUACACUUCCGCCUUCGACUUGGCAAAUGGAACCACAAAUAUAGCCAAUUACCAUUUACUCUGUGAACUAACCACAUUACUGUAUCGAUUGCAACGCGAAUGGACUACACGCCUAACUCAAAUCAUACACUCUUAGAUAACGUAAAACACAUCUUUUUAGAUAAACGAAUAAUCAGUUUCGAAAUCCACCACAACACAGUCACCAAACCGAACACCAAAAACGAUUUACAAGUUCUAUUAGAUAAUUUUUUUGCUUACAUCAUCUGUGAUGAUUUUUUUUACAUGAGGAUAUAGGCACCGUUCCCUAUCUUAGCCGCAGCAACCUCCUCCUUGCGACGUGGAUCCGUCUCUUCCACCUGAUGGCCCCGGGAUUCCUCCAUAUCCAACUUUUAUUCCAUAGGACUCAUUCGACACAUCAAACACACCAUCUUGAAUCUUUUUGUAUAUCGUUGCCGCUGUCUUUAUGAAAGCCUAGCAAUGAUUCAAAAAACACACAUCAAAAUCAUGGUUUAGCACUUCUACUGGUGUGGGGUGUAAAAAGUGGAAUCUAAUUCUGGUAUUAUACGUUAUUCUUUCUCAUAUAUGAACUCGAGGGGACACGAUGGGAUACUAGAGAAAGUAUGUGGGCGAUAACAUGGGGGAAUGCAUGGAUGUUAGUGUACCUCUUCGACAUUCUGAGCAGUCUUGGCAGAGGCCUCCAUGAAAAUAAGACCGUGCUCCUUUGCAAACUGCUCACCUUCCUCAGUGGUGACAGCCCUUCUGUGGGCAAGAUCACACUUAUUCCCAAUGAGCAUAAUGGUCAUAUUAGCAUUUGCAUGCUGCCUUGCAUCCUCUAACCAGCUAGCUAGAUGGUUAAACGUCUCCCUCCUGCAAACAGCGUGAGCAAAUAUUGUCAGUAUCUUCACCCGCAACAGUAACAGAGUUCACAACAUACAAUUCUAGUUCUCGUUCUCUAACAGAAAAAAAAGAAGGAAAAUUUCAACAAAUACAGCUUAUAUCACUGUGUCAAGAAGAUCAUCCUCAACAUCUAGCUACUACAACUACACAGAAACACGAUCAAGCCAAUUCUUGAUAACAAAAGGCUAGUGCAUCACCUAGUGAUGUCGUAGACAAGCAAAGCCCCAGCAGCACCUCUAUAGUAGGAUCUUGUAAUAGACCUAAAUGAUUCUUGACCAGCCUGCAAGAAUAUAAAGAUGAUGGGGAACAAAUCAAACACCAGUCAUGAAAAAAGGCGUAAGGAGGAGGAGGAGGAGGAGGAGGAAGAGAGUACGGUAUCCCAGAUCUGGAGUUUGAGGGGCUUGUUGUCGAUGGUGAUCAUCCUAGCCCCAAACUCAACACCGAUGGUGAGAUCAUGCACCGGCUGAAACCUCUUGUCCGUGAACUGAAGCAGAAGGCAUGAUUUCCCUACUCCUGCAUCAUCAUCAUUCAUCACAAUCAAUUUGCAAAACAAUCAACAUCCAUCAUCCCUUGUUUCAUCUCUUAAUUUCCUAAUGAAUUAGAUCCAGAUCAAUCGUUUUUUUAGUAACUAAACACAUGUAUAUAUAUAUAUAUAGGAUCAUUCAUAAUGAUCUGAUUCAUCUCAAUUUCUCCUAGUGGAUUGAAAAGGAACCGAAGAUGGUGGAGUUACUUACCAGUAUCACCGAUGAUGAUAUACUUGAAGAGAUAAGCGUAAGACAUUUGAAGUUGGAAGAAAUCGAAUUUCUGCAGAUUCUCCGACGAGACUCUCUUUGUUUCCCUAUAUAAAUGACGGAGGCGGUUUAAUUUCCAGCAAUUCCAACGACGCAAUCAACCUGUGUUUUGUCAAAAGUUUUCUAGCGUUUCCCUUUUUUAUAAUACAACUGUAUGGCAUUUUAUUUAUUUAAAAAACCACAUGCAGUUUCCAGAUCACCACAUGGUCAAUUCAUUGGAGAAAUAUUUUCACUCUAAGUCACUUUCCUCGUCAUUUAUUACAUCCCAAGACACAUUGUUAUACUGAAACACUUUUCUUAACUUUCUCUCUUCCUUUUCGUUAGAUUCCAAACAUAAAGAAACUAACUAGAUUACUUUUUGGCGGGAUUAGCUCCCAACCAUUGAUCUUAUUUUAGCUCCAACGCUUCAGAUUUGAUCUGGUAGAUCUGGAAAAAACACAUAUUUUCCAUUUAACAACAACCAUUGGAUCAAAAAUCUUCUCUCCUAUUUUUAACGGUCUGGAUCAAUAACUUUCUCUUCUAUUAUUCUCUUUCAUCUCCCCCCUACGGCGUCGAUUUUUUCUGUGUUCAUCAAUGGAAAAAAAAAACUGAAAUUUUCCUAAUUAAUCUAAAUUUCUCAACUCUAGUUUGUGUGCUAAUCUUGUUUCAUAAUUUUUUUUCUGUAAUCCCAACAUCUUAACACUCGUUGAAUAAUAACCGUGAAACUUGUUGUAGGUAUCUUCCAUGGCGGAUCUCUAGAUGGUUGUCGCUGGCGAAUGGAAGACGUCCGACGAUGGCAACUGGACAUUCUCAAUCGAUAAACAUCAAAUGUCCAGGAUCGUUACUCUCCGACCAUGAUCGUUACUCUCCGUUCAACUAGUCCCCCUGCACCUCGUACACCUAUACUUCAUUUAUCACUAUGUCCAUCUGUACAACACACUUAUAUGUACGCAUGCAAUUAAAAGGCAACACCCCAGUUUCCAGACCAUCAGACUAUCAAAUUAUCAAAUUAUAAAAACGUUCAUGCCUAUAGAUUUCUCAUCAGUGAUCAAAACUGUACUGCUUUAGCUCUUUGUUCACCACAGCGCCACACUAAUUACAACCAUCUGUCCAUAUGUACAACCAUGGUUCUUUAUCCGCAUGUUGACAUUACCGUAUAAAAUAAAGAACACAUAACCAUACUUCGAUCGUAUUCAAGCACCCACAAUUCGAAUGUAGCAUGUAUACUUCUAGGUGUGUCCAUAUGUACAACAUUAUUUUAUUCUCCGCAUGUACAAAGUGCACAGACCACUAUCAUACACAUGGAUUUCGCCUGGAAAAAUAUUAAUGUUCUGUGAUGUUCAGUACCUUCUUUAUCCCGCAAUUAUGAUGUUUCAAAUCCCCAGCUUUGGAUUUUCAAAAUCCAUGGCAUGUAUACUUUCUCUGCUUCACUAUGUGUACAACUAUCCUGCAUUGUCCGCAUGUACACAGCUUAUAAACAAACAUCAUACACUAGCUGGAUCCAACAUAGAAAUAUUUAGGAAUAAAAAUUAUCAAAUUGCUUCAAAUUUGGUAAAAGAUUAAAAUACCCAAUACAUGCAUACAUUAGUUGGAUCCAACAUAGCAAUAUUAGGAAUAAAAACAUCAUUCUUACAACCAUGUUCCAUACAUAUCAUACAAGCAAACCGCAAAAAUCAAACCUCACACCAUCCGAUUAUCAACUAAUUCAUCCUCACACUUCGUCUCAGCUGAAUCACCGCCUCCCCACUCACAUUUUUGGAAUUUAUGCCAUGCCUUCAAUAUUUCAACCAUGUAACCCACUUUCCUAUCGUGAAUCUCACAGUCAAACUCUCCCGACCCUGCCUCCUUAUCCUCCCCGAGUUCCAUCAUUGGAUGCACGAUUAGCUGCAAAGACAACACAAGAAACAUCAGAACUUGGCUACGAACUUCAGUAUACCAAUGCAUGGGGAUAUAUAUGUUCCCGCUAGCUAUUGUAUUAGACCAUGUAUUUAUCCUUGAAUGAAGUUAUCCCUAUCGUGAAAGAGUGGUAAACAUUUUAUGUACUCACCAAUCAGAAUGAAUUCAAGUGUAUAAGCCUCGGUUUCACAUUUGGAUAUUUAUCUAGAUUAGGAUAGGAUCAGUGGAGAAGAUGGCAUUUGCCCCUAUAAAAUGUACAAAUCUUUUGUAACUUAACCAAAAUCUAGUUAUUUGCCCUUAUUAAAAAUUAUUAUGUUUAAGCCUUAUACUUAUAUUUAUAUAUGAUUUGCCUUCUAUAAAAAAAGGUUCUCAAUAUCAUCCUUGGAUCGGAUAUUUCAAAUUUUUGCACUUUUGGAUUUAUCCUCUUUAGUCCCAUUCAAAUAUUUCAUAAGUACGAGUCGGAUUUUAUUAAUACCACUUUUAAGUUUAUAUUUUUUUCUCAAAAAAAAAAGUUUAUACAUAAUUUGUAACACUUCCUUAGUUCUAUAAAAUUAUCAUAUAUCAUUUGGUUUCAUGUUAUAUCAGUUCAGUUCAAAUAUAUAAAUAAUAAAAUUAAAAGGAAAACAUGAUCAAGAAAGUAUUUAACUCUAUAAAAUUAAUCGAACAUACAUUAAUCCGACAAAAUAAUAACAUUACAAAGUUUACACACUGAAAUACUAAAAACGGUUUUAAAGAUAAAUAUUUGGCCGGUUUGUUUAUUGCAAAUGCAACACUAUAAUGUGAGAAACAUCUUGACCACCAUGUUUACUCCUAUGAAACAAAAUAACAUCAAAACAAAGUCUUAAAUCAAACAUUAAUAAAAUACAACGUUUGAAGAUAAUAUGCAUUACCUUAGCGAUAGAAACAUAAAGUGGAUUUCUUAUUUCAAUGAACAAAUUCUGAAACAAAGAGCAAAACAAAGAGAUCAUUAUAAACAACUUGAAUACAGCUUUUUCCGUUCGAGUUAAAUUAAUAACCCUUCGAAUUCAUAUGUGUUUUAUAAUAUCCUACAAAAUCCAUUAAGAUAUUUUACAUCUUGGAUCGGAUAUGGAUCAAGUUUUUAGGUUUGGAUCUUGGGUUUCUGAUUUAUGCCUAGGCCUACAUACGUAUAACAACUUUGUAUUUAAGCUUAAGUACGAAGCCGAAUCUGAAGAAAGAUAACUCAGUACGAUCCUCGCCAGACAGACCAAUUUUGUAGGUGAUUAAAUAGUGUACUUGUGAUGAUUAUUAGUUUACAAAACAUUCGUAAAAUGUACUUACGGUAAUAUAAGAUGCAUUAAAUAAAUAAUGUGUGAAUUUAGAGCUGACGACAGUGCCUUUAUCUUAGUGAUAAUGAUGUCGUUCAUGCACACAUAGAGGUAUGUAAGGGUUUCAGAAAUUUUGAUGAUACAACAACUUUAGCUAAUAUUAUAGGAGAAGCAGUACUAUAUAUAUACAUGCAAACAUUUUUAUAAUUUAAUAAGCACUGAUUCAUUGUUAUCGCAAGAUGGACGAAUGCAAUAUAGACUAAUAUUGACAAAGAUAUCUUAGAACCAAUCUCAUGGCCGUAUCAAUCUAGUCAGCUGAGCCACUGUGAGAAACUUGAACCUGCUUGGUUUGAACUUGAUCACGAAUUAAGUGAUAAUUAAGUGAAAUAUAUGUUUACACAAAAGUAAAACACAUGAUUAGUACAUAGAUAUGUGACAUGAACAUUGUCAUACUAUAACCGAACUAUCAAAUUUUAGAUUAUGUUAAAGGGAAUUAAGAAAGAAAUACUAGUUUGGAAGUACUUGCAACAUGAAGCGCCGCUAUAGAAAAAAAAGACGAUUUCUGCGUUCUCCUUCUCCGGUGGCCGGCGAGCUUUGUCGAUGCCGUGAGAAGGCCUUUAGUGUCUUUAGUCUUAGUUGAAGCUAUCAAUAUCCCUAGAGACCUUUGGAUUCAGAUCUGACUUCGAUCUGAUCUUGUAGCUGGCGUGGGUAGCUUAAUCAGAUUCGUAGCUUUUUCUGGUGCGCGGUGCAGGUUAUACCGGCUCUGAUGUGGGGUGGUACUUCUUCCAUCGGAUCUGGAUAAGUUGUAAACUCUGUUGGCUCAUAGGUGAUUGUCAGGCUUAUCCCCUCUUUGUCUCUGUCUUGGAUGUCGUUUGGUUUCAGUCUCGGUAGCUGUCUAGUUUCUAUGUCUUUUUCGUGGUCUACAUCCAUUACCUUUCGAUAUGAGUUCGGUUCUGCAACAAGAUAGCCGUUAUGGUGUGAUCUUGUGUAGCUUCAUCCUGAAGCUACUUUGUGGUGGCAACUCGAGGGAGUGUAGCGGAUUAUGUUAAAGGGAAUUAAGGUUUCUUCAGCAUUUUAGAGAUUGAUGGGUCUUCCGACUACCUGGUCUUGUCGUUCGACUUCAGUGCUUGUUUUUAGUUAUCUUCAGCGGGUGGAGCUUCAGUGUUGUGAAUAUGUGCUGUCUCUUGGUUUGUAACCAACGUUUUUUCCGGAUUACUUGGUAAGACGCUUUGAAGCAGUGGCUCAAUUGCAUGAUGUUUUGGAGUAGUUAUUUGCCAAUCGUCGUCUUUAAUGGUUGCUCGAGUUGGAGAUUUGUUCUCUUGUGGCUUCUUGUUGAAGAAGCAGCUUUUGUGUUGUGGUUUGUUCGUGGGUUCAGAGGGGAACCGUUCUUGCUGUCAUCGCUUUCUCGCUCAUAUCUUCUUCCAGCUUUUUUUAGCUCCACAGCUCCAACCUUGUUCUCUUCUUUCAGUUUAGUGUUUCAGUUAAGUUGAUGUUUCAAACUAUCUCUGGGAGGUUAUUCUUACCUCACCGGCUUAUGACUCCGGAAAGGUACCUUUGUCUUCUCUGUGUAAUCUUUGGUUGAAUUCAAUAUAAAUUUACCAGAUGAAAAAAAUACAGUAAAACCUCUAUAAAUUAAUAAUGUUGGGACUACAUCAAAAUUAUAAUUUUUUAAUUAAUUUAUAGAAAUAUUAAUUUAUCGAUAUACUAAUUGAACGAAAAACUAAAUUUGGAACUAUAAAAUUAUAUUAUUUUAUAGAAUUUUUUAGUGUAUAUUAAUUUAGAGUAUUAAUUUAAAGAGGUUAUAUUGUAGUUGCAACAUAGUUUUACUAUGGUAAGAUAUAAAUGUAAAACCUAAUGACUAAGCAAACUCCACUGGCCCAAUUCAUAUUGUGUUUACUUAUAUUAAAAGCCCAAUGUCCAUGUAUUUCUAUUUUCUGAGGAAAUAGAUAUGUCUCAUGUAACAUGAGAUUUAAAAAAUGGAUUUAAAAAAUGGACGUUUAGGCCCAUACGUAAAGAAGGGAAGAACAUGUCAGCAUCAAUGGUCCAACCCAGACCUACUGAGACACGUGUAGAACUGCAUCUCCCUCGCACGUUGAAAAUGUAGAUAAUUCCAAAUUGACAAUUGAAUUGCUGAACACCAUAAGAAAGGACCAAUACACGAUACGAGUCACAUCUGAAUAAAAACGGAAUAUUGAAAAAAAAAACAUAAAAUGUACAUCUGCCAAAUACAUUAAUUGUCAAUUAACUACAGUUUGGACCGUGACAAGCUCAUUACUGCAUGAGUCAUGCAAUGUUUGGACGGUCGAAAGGCCAAAGCUCGCACGCAGUUAUGUCAUCAUACUCGACCCAUCGGUUUACCUACAAGUGUCUACCAGAAAGCUACACUACAUAUAACAUAAAAAUUGCUGAUAAUUUUCUAUUACUCGCACAAAUUUACCAAAUAAAUUGAGUUAAAAUGAUGGUUUAACUCUUUUUUUUUGUUGUGUCAGCAAUGGUUUAACUCUUAAAAGAUGAGUUUAGUGAAAUGAAUAGUUGUAACUCCAAGAAAAGAAAAGGAGCAUGUGAACCAAUGAAUGUGUUGAAAGCAAAGUGACAAAUGGAUGAAGAACCCGAAAAGCAAUGCAAAUAUAUUGACUCUUGAGUUUUUCCAUGUUGAACAGUGUCCGUUCUCCAAGACAUAAAUAUUCUAGUAAAAUAAAGAAAACAAUUUAAAUUAGAGUUAUUCGAAUAAAUAAGAAGGUAGUAACGUAUUGACCGAGAAUAAAAUAAAAAACUUUAUUCUGCCUUUCGGACAUCUUAAGCAUAGGCAAAAUUCUCUAACUGAUAAAAAAAACAUUUUCUAUUUAUUGUCUUUAAAUUGUUCCUAACCAAAAAAUGAAAAAUCAUUCGUACACAAAGAAGAAGAGUCAGUGAAAGGAUCGUUGCCGUGUAAUGAUGAAAUCAUCUCCCAACCACAAAUCUCGCAGCUGAUUGAAGAAAAAUGUUUUGUGCUCUGUUGAAGAAGAGAAAACAAAACGUUGUCGUUUACUUUGUAACCACAUAACACGUUGAAAAUAUCGAGAUGGGUUUCAACAGAGGUUUACUUACGACGAAGACUUAUAGUUCUUGUGGUGGUUUGAAGCAGUUUAUGUACGGAAACGCUUUCACGACUCUCGAUGCUUUCUGGGUUUCUCUCUGUAAUCUCUUCUUUCUCCUCCUCGCCUCCAUCUUCAGGUACUGUACAUACGUUUUCUUCUUUCUUGUUCUCUCCUCUGUGUUUUGGUUGAUUAAUGGGUUUUGUUUUAUUAGAGUUUAUUCAGACAAAGAGACAAGCUUGGUCGUGGUUAAGACUAACAACAACAACAACCCAAGAGAGUCCUCUGUUGAUGGGAGUUCUCUGGUUUCGAUCAGCAAGAGAUGCGAUUAUUUAUCCGACAAGAGCAUCACUUGUUACGUAGAAGAAACUAAACCUGUCCGCUUUGUGUUUCAUGAUUAUUACCCCUCUGCUGUACAAGAGGAGAUGAAGAUGAUAACUUUCUCUGAUGAAUCGAACACGAGUUUUGUCCUGGAGAAACCGUUUGUAGCUGACGACAACAAGUUGGAGACAUCACUAUCGGAAGGUUGUUUUAUAAAGGAACACGUGAAGGAAGAGAUGUUGGUUUAUGAGUUCAUGAGUUGUGGUGUCUUAAAAGGACUUUUAGCUCACGAGAGUUUUGCUGGUUGUGAAGAUAACUUGUCCGAAGAGGAGGAGGAGGAUGAGUUUAUAGAACUCAACCCAAGUUUCCAGAGAGAAGAAGAGUCAAAGAUGGGUUUUAAUGAAGAACAAGAAGCAUAUGAUUUUGAUGAUGAUGAUGAUGAUGAUUCAGAUGAUGAUGAUGAGUAUGAGCAUAGUGAUGUGAUCGAGAAACUGAAAACAGAGAUAAGGACAGCUAGAACAGGAGGGUUGUGCACCAUUCUUGAGGAAUCAGAGACUCCAUUACAAGAGCUGAAACCACUCAAGAUUGAACCAAGGCAAGAUCAGUUCAAAGACAUGAUCGGUGAGGUUCACAAGGUUUACAAGAACUACGCUGUGAAAAUGAGAAAGCUCGACGUCAUUGAUUCUCAGAUGAUGCAUUCCAUCAGUAAGUCAACAUCUCUUUCUAACAUGUAUUACUAUAUUAGCAAUGACAUCUCUUUUAAUCUUUUGUCUGGUGAGGUCAUAUGGUUGAAUAAUGUCUCUUUCCUUCUUAAAUAUUGUCUCAACUACUCAAUAUAUGUAUAUGGUUGGUGGGGUCUAUGGUUAACAUUUUUUAAUUUGAUUUUUAACAGGUUUGCUAAAGCUAAAACUAAAAGAUUCAUCUAAACCAAGCAGUAACAUCGUUAAACCUCACAAGUCUCAGAACCUAUGGCCAUUCAAGAAACAUAAGCUUGAAUGUGACCCGAUUGAGAGACUUUUGAAAGAAGCGAGCAGAGACUUUGAGACUGUCUACGUAAGCCAACUCUGCCUCUCGUGGGAGAUGCUUCGUUGGCAAUACACAAAACUCUUGGAGUUUGAUUCUCACGUUGCUACUACUUAUCAAUACAACUUAGUUGCUGGAGAGUUUCAACUGUUCCAAGUCCUGCUUCAACGGUUUGUGGAGAAUGAGCCGUUUCAAAGUUUAUCUAGAGUUGAGACUUACUUGAAGAACCGUCGCCAUUUCCACAACUUCCUUCAGAUUCCACUUGUUAGAGGUAACAAAAAUUCUUGAGUUUAUCCUGAGCCUUUGCUAAUGCAAGACUCUCUUUUAGCAUGUGGAAGUGAGGUGGUUGAACAUGAUCCGAGUAUAAAAAUAACAUUAAUUUAACUUUUUUUGAAAUAAAUUUAGGAUUUAUAGAUAUAUAUUUUUUUUUAAAUAUGAGAGUUAUUUAAUUUAAAACUACACCAACAAAAAAAAACAACAAAUAUUGACUUAUUUAUGUGAAUAUAUAUUUUAUUUUAAAUCAUUAUAGUGGACGAAUAAAACACCAUAAUUUGUACAACAAAUUUUCUUAGAUUCACCUCAUCAUACUCACCAAUUUACCAUUUUAAUUACAUAAUUUUACAUGAGCUUCUUCACCCUUCCCGGUUAUUUUCUCUUUAUUUAUAACUACAAUAUAAAGUUAUAAACUAUAUAUUAUAAAUUAAUAAUUUAUUUACCCCUUAAAGUCUAAAGAUUAAAAAUAGAACAUAAUUCAAUAUAGAUAUAUGAUUCUAUUAAUAAAUUAGCAGUUACAAAUUUGAAAUUUUUAGAAAUAUCAAAAGUUGUGUUAGUUAAUUAUCUUCUAAAUUAUGUCUAUUGCUAAUUUUUUUAUGAGAAUAUUUUGGUUGAGGUGGAUAGUCUCAAAAGCCUUGAAUUUAGUCCCUUUUAUAUAGUAGGAUAGAUUGACAUAUUAAUGACCUAAAAUAGUCUUAAAUAGGAGAGAAUUAAUUCACCAACCUGAAUCCUAAACUUUUAUGCACGGCAUAAAUGUUUGAGCAUUGAAUCUCUAAGCAUUUAAUUUAUCACACUAAAAAAAGGGGAGUCAUCUGGUAUCUUAUCAGAAUAAUACUCUAUGAUUAGUGAGGUGAAGGAUUUAACAAAUCACAUAAAAAACAAAACUUAAUUAUCAAGUGGGGACGAAUGGCAAAGAUGUAAAUAAACCGAAACGCGAGGGACUUAUUUAACCAACCCUCUCUUUACCUUAGCUUCAAAACAGAGAUCCUCCUCUUCUUCAUCAUCAUCAUCAUCAUCAUCAUUUCGCGUCUUUCUGAUCACAGAAACCCUAAUUUCUUAAGAACCCUAAUCUCGAUUCCACCCUUCUUCCUUCCAGACUCUGUAUGUAAAUGCAUCUAAAGAAUUCAACUGUAGCAGAACGGCGGUUCAUCGGAAAAGAAGCCGCCAGUUAUCCACCUUCCUCCGAUUUGGAUCCGAAACCAAAGAUUAAGCAUCAUCGCCCCCUUCAAGUACCCGAAACGCUAACCCCAGAGAAACCCACGUACCGAAGCGCCAUUGGAGCAAACCCUUAUAAUCAAUCGCAAGCCCAGAGCCAUCUCACCGUUGAAAUCCCAGAUUCAUCGUCUCCGCAAAAGAGGCCUGCAGCGGCGGCGGCUCAAUCCUCUCAUCCGUUUAACGAUUUCCGCCGCGGAGGAGGAGGAAGCGACCGUGGAAGCUUGGGUCUUUUGUCGUUUCUCUCGUCUUCUCUUCCGUCGAAUCAGAAGCUGCUCCGUCAAGUCAUCCGAGUUCGUUUGAUAUGUUUCCACCUCCGUUUCCUGCUUCUCCUCUCCGUUCCUCCUCUCUACAUCUUCUUCCUGUUAAUCAGUGUCCGAGUCGUCCUCCUCUUCGUCUUCUCCAUCAUCGCUUUCUCGUUCA
Molecule: long non-coding RNA, 22352 nt
Filed under: Brassica napus (rape)
Lineage: Eukaryota; Viridiplantae; Streptophyta; Magnoliopsida; Brassicales; Brassicaceae
Description: long non-coding RNA (BNAP_LNC015070)
Source: RNAcentral